Molecule: ribosomal RNA, 445 nt
Filed under: Bifidobacterium scardovii
Lineage: Bacteria; Bacillati; Actinomycetota; Actinomycetes; Bifidobacteriales; Bifidobacteriaceae
Description: bacterial SSU rRNA
Rfam family: Bacterial small subunit ribosomal RNA
Source: RNAcentral
CGAACGGGAUCCGGCCAGCUUGCUGGUUGGUGAGAGUGGCGAACGGGUGAGUAAUGCGUGACCGACCUGCCCCAUGCUCCGGAAUAGCUCCUGGAAACGGGUGGUAAUGCCGGAUGGUCCAGCAUGCUGCAUGGCGUGUUGGGAAAGAUUUAUCGGCGUGGGAUGGGGUCGCGUCCUAUCAGCUUGACGGUGGGGUGAUGGCCUACCGUGGCUUCGACGGGUAGCCGGCCUGAGAGGGCGACCGGCCACAUUGGGACUGAGAUACGGCCCAGACUCCUACGGGAGGCAGCAGUGGGGAAUAUUGCACAAUGGGCGCAAGCCUGAUGCAGCGACGCCGCGUGAGGGAUGGAGGCCUUCGGGUUGUAAACCUCUUUUAGCAGGGAGCAAGGCUUCGGUUGAGUGUACCUGUUGAAUAAGCACCGGCUAACUACGUGCCAGCAGCCGC